AUAAUAACUAAGUAUAUGAUUUUGAUAAUAAAUAUAUUGAAAUUAUUUAUGUAUAUGUAUUUUUUGUCAUACUUAAGUAGUCACCUAGGUAUUUACCAAAAAAAAUAAUAUCUCCCGCAGAUGUCGAUAAUUUAGCCAGCGGGCAACGUCGAUGGAAACAGUCAUUUUACAAAAUGACGUUAGUAAAGUGUCUUUUGCUAAUUCAAAUACUUGUGCAUACCACGGUAGCUGGACGGUUGUUUAGAAAUUAUAAAAAAUAUGAUACAUCCGAAGACAUUACUACAACUGCAACACAACCCCAAUAUUACUGGCCGUGGCUUCCUGGAUACAAAUACGACGCUCCUAACUACGUUUGGCCCUUAUAUUUUACUGGAUAAUUUAUAUUUAAAGAAAUUAAAUUGUUUUAUCUCAUAUAAAAACAAGUAUAUAAAAGA
Molecule: long non-coding RNA, 434 nt
Organism: Manduca sexta (tobacco hornworm)
Lineage: Eukaryota; Metazoa; Arthropoda; Insecta; Lepidoptera; Sphingidae
Exons: 2
Source: RefSeq, a predicted model, not a curated record